This 501-nucleotide ribosomal RNA is filed under the name uncultured Glomeromycotina. RNAcentral describes it as "partial small subunit ribosomal RNA". It matches the Rfam family "Eukaryotic small subunit ribosomal RNA", at positions 591 to 1092 of the family's 1831-position model. The record is from RNAcentral. Lineage: Eukaryota; Fungi; Glomeromycota.
CCAAUAGCGUAUAUUAAAGUUGUUGCAGUUAAAAAGCUCGUAGUUGAAUUUCGGGGUUAGUAGGUUUGGUCAUGCCUCUGGUAUGUACUGAUCUUACUGAUUCCUCCUUCCUGAUGAUCCGUAAUGCCAUUAAUUUGGUGUUGCGGGGAAUUUGGACUGUUACUUUGAAAAAAUUAGAAUGUUUAAAGCAAGCUAACGCUUGAAUACAUUAGCAUGGAAUAAUGAAAUAGGACGUUCGAUCCUAUUUUGUUGGUUUCUAGGAUUGACGUAAUGAUUAAUAGGGAUAGUUGGGGGCAUUAGUAUUCAAUUGUCAGAGGUGAAAUUCUUGGAUUUAUUGAAGACUAACUACUGCGAAAGCAUUUGCCAAGGAUGUUUUCAUUAAUCAAGAACGAAAGUUAGGGGAUCGAAGACGAUCAGAUACCGUCGUAGUCUUAACCAUAAACUAUGCCGACUAGGGAUCGGAUGAUGUUAAUUUUUUAAUGACUCAUUCGGCGCCUUACG